Molecule: ribosomal RNA, 497 nt
Filed under: uncultured bacterium
Lineage: Bacteria
Description: partial 16S ribosomal RNA
Rfam family: Bacterial small subunit ribosomal RNA
Source: RNAcentral
GAUGAACGCUGGCGGCGUGCCUAAUACAUGCAAGUCGAGCGAACAGACGAGGAGCUUGCUCCUCUGACGUUAGCGGCGGACGGGUGAGUAACACGUGGAUAACCUACCUAUAAGACUGGGAUAACUUCGGGAAACCGGAGCUAAUACCGGAUAAUAUAUUGAACCGCAUGGUUCAAUAGUGAAAGACGGUUUUGCUGUCACUUAUAGAUGGAUCCGCGCCGCAUUAGCUAGUUGGUAAGGUAACGGCUUACCAAGGCAACGAUGCGUAGCCGACCUGAGAGGGUGAUCGGCCACACUGGAACUGAGACGCGGUCCAGACUCCUACGGGAGGCAGCAGUAGGGAAUCGUACGCAAUGGGCGAAAGCCUGACGGAGCAACGCCGCGUGAGUGAUGAAGGUCUUCGGAUCGUAAAACUCUGUUAUUAGGGAAGAACAAAUGUGUAAGUAACUAUGCACGUCUUGACGGUACCUAAUCAGAAAGCCACGGCUAACUACGUG